This 2159-nucleotide long non-coding RNA is filed under the name Rhinolophus ferrumequinum (greater horseshoe bat). RNAcentral describes it as "lncRNA (ENSRFEG00010019259.1)". Lineage: Eukaryota; Metazoa; Chordata; Mammalia; Chiroptera; Rhinolophidae. The record is from RNAcentral.
GCUAGGAGGUGGUUAGGACUGCAAGGAGCACCUUGUGGGAUCACCUUUGCCCGGCUACCUGGGGCUGGGGCUGGGGUCUCUGCACACAGCUUUUGCUUGGUGUUUCCUGGGUCAGGAACAGAGCCAACAGGAUGGACAUGUGGCAAAUGCCUUGGACAUGGCUAUGAUCUUUGACUACUGGGGGAGGGAACCUGGUGAUGAGAGUAAAGGGUCACGAAGGACUGGCCUCCCUGAUCUCUAUCCUCGUGGCAGUGACCCACCUCCAGCCCCCUGGACAAUCGGGUACAGAGACUAAGGUUGGGAACGGGUAGGGUGGGGUUUCCAUAGUCCAUUAAAUGCUUCCCUACUCCCAUUCUUCGCUCUCAAAAUUAGCUUCAGUGACAAAGACUUAAACCUCUCUCCUAUCUGCAGCCCUGGGUUGGAGAGAGGGCACAGGAGUGGGGCUCAGCUGUUCGCUGACUGAGACUGGAGGAACUGUGUUGGUUGGUAUCGGUGGUGGUAUUUUUCAAGGAAAGGGGAAUAAUUGCAAACUGGAUAGGACAUCCAUCUGGGACUACUUGUCCAUCCACUUCCCUCAAUUGAAUCAGGUAACAUUAAAGGGUCGAGGGAGUACCAGAGGGUGGUGUGGUCUGUAUUUGAACAAAUUCCUGGCUCACUGAGCAUCGAAGGGGAAUAUGGCCCGGUGGGAGUGGUUUAGUUUCCCCUUUAAACAGCCAAUAAAUAAUUUUUAUUAUAAAAGUUAUACUGAUUAUCAACAUCGACUCCUUCGGUUCAAUUCAGUGUAUAAUAGUUGAAUACCCAAUAUUUUCUGGGACCCACAUAGGGGAUGUGGAGUCACUGCCUUCAAGGAGUUCAGUCUUAUUUGACCAGGUACCUUGCAUUUUCACAGAGCAUUCACCUCUGGUGAAGUGCUAUGGAAUGUGUGUGAGAAAUGUACUGGAGAAUUUGUUCGUGGUUCUAACUUAUGAGAGUUCAGUCCAUUAGAGCAAGAUACCUACACGGAGGCUUCCUGCAGACUACGUAAAGUGUGGGGGUUGUAAAUGAAACUCUACUUGAAAAAAUACCUUAUUCAAUGAAACUAGGCAAACAGCUUUCCCCCUUUAGAUCUAGGAAAAUUAUCAGGUUUCUGUCUUCCUACCACUAGACUUCCUCUAGUCUAGCGCCUAUUAUAUUGAGGGAAUCCUUUAGAUAGUAUAUACAACGGGGAGAGUCUUUUGUGAUUGCAAAACAUAUUCUCAUCUCUCCUCCCUUUUAAGAUAGACUCCUAACGGAGGAAUCUCAUUCCUAGAUAGGGGAAAACUCUUCCAAACAUCACUGAUCUGCUAGUAGGCCCUAAGCAUUGCCAGUAGGUGGCAGUGUGUGUCCAGUGGAAACAGGAAAGGUGUCUGUAAGUGGGUAAAGGGGUGUGGGGAGGACAUUCAACGUUGUCUGGCAGCCAUUUUGUUAAUUUAUUUUGCCUUUUCCUUUGACUUUGCCCUCCAACCCUUCCUUCCCAUACAUCAAAGAAGAAAAAUUUAAAUUCAAGGAUAACUCUAAUUCAGGCUGAAAUUUCCUGGCACUGUGAUCUCACUGGCAUUUAUUACAGAAUUUGACAUAUGCUGGUUCGUUUGCCAUUUAUUUUGAGUAGAUCAUGAAGGAAAUAAAAGAUUCUAUUAUGCUGAGAACUUUCCCAACAGUUUCUGCCAUGACAACCUCCUAAGAGUUUUCUAGCCACUAGGAUCACUUGGGUAAAGUUCGAUGUGUAAUCUUGAGCUGUGCAAGUUGUUCCUGGACACAAUUUGACCUCCCUAAUCCACGGAAGAAUCAGUAACCGUCCUGUCAGUUACUUUUUCCUGCACCCUGGUCGUGUUGGGGUAACUCUCAAUCCUAGAUGAAAACCUUGUUGUCAGGUUUUCCCAGGUAACACAGUGGCAUAGUAGUAAAGGGGUGCAUUUGGAGUCAGAUAAACACCUACUCACUGUGUGAAGUUGGGAAAGAUGUUUAAUUUCUGAGCCUAUUUCCUCAUCUGUAAAAAUGGGGAUAACAUUACCUACCUCACAGGGUUGUUGUGAGGAUUAAGAGAUAUGUGGAAGCACCUAGCCAUACUUGGCAAACAGGUACUCAAUAAAUACUGGUUUUUCUUCCUUUUCCUCUUGCCCUUUCUCCCUGUAAGUACCGAU